This 329-nucleotide ribosomal RNA is filed under the name uncultured eukaryote. RNAcentral describes it as "partial 18S ribosomal RNA". It matches the Rfam family "Eukaryotic small subunit ribosomal RNA", at positions 1470 to 1796 of the family's 1831-position model. The record is from RNAcentral.
CCCUUAGAUGUUCUGGGCCGCACGCGCGCUACACUGACGAUGGCAACGAGUUUUUCCUUCGCCGAAAGGUGUGGGUAAUCUUUUGAAACAUCGUCGUGCUGGGGAUAGAUCAUUGCAAUUUUUGAUCUUGAACGAGGAAUUCCUAGUAAGCGCGAGUCAUCAGCUCGCGUUGAUUACGUCCCUGCCCUUUGUACACACCGCCCGUCGCUACUACCGAUUGAAUAGUUUAGUGAGGACUCCUGAUUGGCGCCGCCGCCCCGGCAACGGAGCAGCGGACUGCCGAAAAGUUGUUCAAACUUGAUCAUUUAGAGGAAGUAAAAGUCGUAACA